GACUAACGCUGGCGGCGUGCCUAAUACAUGCAAGUCGAACGGGAUUCUUUGAUCAGUUUGCUGAGAGAAGGAUCUAGUGGCGGACGGGUGAGUAACGCGUGGGAAUCUGCCUCUUACUGGGGGAUAACAGUGGGAAACUACUGCUAAUACCGCAUAAGAUCUUCGGAUGAAAGGUGCAACUGCACCGGUAAGAGAUGAGCCCGCGUCCCAUUAGCUAGUUGGUGAGGUAAAGGCUCACCAAGGCGACGAUGGGUAGCCGGCCUGAGAGGGUGAACGGCCACACUGGGACUGAGACACGGCCCAGACUCCUACGGGAGGCAGCAGUAGGGAAUCUUCCGCAAUGGGCGCAAGCCUGACGGAGCGACGCCGCGUGAGUGAUGAAGGCCUUCGGGUCGUAAAGCUCUGUUCUUGAGGACGGAAUAAGCCAGGGAGUGGAAAGCCCUGGUGAUGACUGUACUCAAGGAGAAAGCUCCGGCUAACUACGUGCC
RNAcentral lists this ribosomal RNA (488 nucleotides) under uncultured bacterium. Its description in RNAcentral is "bacterial SSU rRNA". It matches the Rfam family "Bacterial small subunit ribosomal RNA", at positions 28 to 509 of the family's 1533-position model. The record is from RNAcentral.